Molecule: transfer RNA, 63 nt
Filed under: Psococerastis albimaculata
Lineage: Eukaryota; Metazoa; Arthropoda; Insecta; Psocodea; Psocidae
Description: tRNA-Thr
Rfam family: tRNA
About the family: Transfer RNA (tRNA) molecules are approximately 80 nucleotides in length. Their secondary structure includes four short double-helical elements and three loops (D, anti-codon, and T loops).
Source: RNAcentral
GUUUUAAUAAUUUAAAUUAAAAUACUGGUCUUGUAAGCCAGAAAUGAAAAAAUUCUUAAAACU